RNAcentral lists this ribosomal RNA (303 nucleotides) under uncultured bacterium. Its description in RNAcentral is "bacterial SSU rRNA". It matches the Rfam family "Bacterial small subunit ribosomal RNA", at positions 355 to 675 of the family's 1533-position model. The record is from RNAcentral.
UGGGGAAUAUUGCACAAUGGGGGAAACCCUGAUGCAGCAACGCCGCGUGAGUGAAGAAGUCAUUCGUGAUGUAAAGCUCUAUCAGCAGGGAAGAAAAUGACGGUACCUGACUAAGAAGCCCCGGCUAACUACGUGCCAGCAGCCGCGGUAAUACGUAGGGGGCAAGCGUUAUCCGGAUUUACUGGGUGUAAAGGGAGCGUAGACGGCGACGCAAGUCUGAAGUGAAAUGCCAGUGCUCAACACUGGAACUGCUUUGGAAACUGUGUGGCUAGAGUGCAGGAGAGGUAAGUGGAAUUCCUAGUG